Molecule: ribosomal RNA, 713 nt
Filed under: uncultured Acidobacteriota bacterium
Lineage: Bacteria; Pseudomonadati; Acidobacteriota
Description: bacterial SSU rRNA
Rfam family: Bacterial small subunit ribosomal RNA
Source: RNAcentral
AGAGUUUGAUCCUGGCUCAGAAUCAACGCUGGCGGCGUGCCUAACACAUGCAAGUCGAACGGGAAGGGGGGCUUCGGCUCCCCCGAGAGUGGCGCACGGGUGAGUAACACGUGGGUAAUCUGCCUUUGGGUGGGGAAUAACGAUCCGAAAGGAUCGCUAAUACCGCAUAACGCAGCGGCACCGCAUGGUGACAGUUGUUAAAGGGGGGGAUCUUCGGACCUCCCGCCUGAAGAGGAGCCCGCGCCCGAUUAGCUCGUUGGUGAGGUAACGGCUCACCAAGGCUUCGAUCGGUAGCCGGCCUGAGAGGGCGGUCGGCCACACUGGCACUGAGAUACGGGCCAGACUCCUACGGGAGGCAGCAGUGGGGAAUUUUGGGCAAUGGGCGCAAGCCUGACCCAGCAACGCCGCGUGAAGGACGAAAUCCCUCCGGGAUGUAAACUUCGAAAGUCAGGAAAGAAAUCCUCGCGGAUAACACCCGCGAGGGAUGACGGUACCUGACGUAAGCCCCGGCUAACUACGUGCCAGCAGCCGCGGUAAUACGUAGGGGGCAAGCGUUGUUCGGAAUUACUGGGCGUAAAGGGCGCGUAGGCGGCACGGCAAGUCGGGAGUGAAAGGCCUGGGCUCAACCGAGGAACUGCUUUCGAGACUGCCGAGCUAGAGUGCGGAAGGGGCAACUGGAAUUCCCAGUGUAGCGGUGAAAUGCGUAGAUAUUG